Molecule: transfer RNA, 102 nt
Filed under: Aspergillus ibericus CBS 121593
Lineage: Eukaryota; Fungi; Ascomycota; Eurotiomycetes; Eurotiales; Aspergillaceae
Also listed under: 1 other name
Description: tRNA-Pro
Source: RNAcentral
GCCCGGGUGGUCUAGUGGUAUGAUUCUCGCUUAGGGAUGGCUUCUGCCUUCAAACCCAAGCAUAUCUGCGAGAGGUCCCGCGUUCGAUCCGCGGCUCGGGCC